Molecule: ribosomal RNA, 253 nt
Filed under: uncultured bacterium
Lineage: Bacteria
Description: partial 16S ribosomal RNA
Rfam family: Bacterial small subunit ribosomal RNA
Source: RNAcentral
UACGGGGGGAGCAAGCGUUGUUCGGAUUUACUGGGCGUAAAGGGCGCGUAGGCGGCGCAACAAGUCACUUGUGAAAUCUCCGGGCUUAACCCGGAGCGGCCAAGUGAUACUGUCGUGCUAGAGUGCGGAAGGGGCUACUGGAAUUCUCGGUGUAGCGGUGAAAUGCGUAGAUAUCGAGAGGAACACCUGCGGCGAAGGCGGGUAGCUGGGCCGAUACUGACGCUGAGGCACGAAAGCGUGGGGAGCAAACAGG